RNAcentral lists this ribosomal RNA (787 nucleotides) under uncultured bacterium. RNAcentral's name for it is "bacterial SSU rRNA". It matches the Rfam family "Bacterial small subunit ribosomal RNA", at positions 8 to 796 of the family's 1533-position model. The record is from RNAcentral.
AGAGUUUGAUCCUGGCUCAGGAUGAACGCUAGCGGCAGGCUUAACACAUGCAAGUCGAGGGGUAGGUGUCUUCGGACAUUGAGACCGGCGCACGGGUGCGUAACGCGUAUGCAAUCUGCCUCUCACUGGGGAAUAGCCCGGAGAAAUCCGGAUUAAUGCCCCAUGGUAUUUUGGAAUGGCAUCAUUCUAUUAUUAAAGAUUUAUCGGUGAAAGAUGAGCAUGCGUCCCAUUAGUUAGUUGGUGUGGUAACGGCACACCAAGACGAUGAUGGGUAGGGGUCCUGAGAGGGAGAUCCCCCACACUGGUACUGAGACACGGACCAGACUCCUACGGGAGGCAGCAGUGAGGAAUAUUGGUCAAUGGACGCAAGUCUGAACCAGCCAUGCCGCGUGCAGGAUGACGGCCCUAUGGGUUGUAAACUGCUUUUGUACGGGAAGAAACCGCUCUACGUGUAGAGCUUUGACGGUACCGUAAGAAUAAGGAUCGGCUAACUCCGUGCCAGCAGCCGCGGUAAUACGGAGGAUCCAAGCGUUAUCCGGAAUCAUUGGGUUUAAAGGGUCCGUAGGCGGCCUUGUAAGUCAGUGGUGAAAUCUUUCGGCUCAACCGGAAAAUUGCCAUUGAUACUGCAAGGCUUGAAUUAUUGGGAAGUAACUAGAAUAUGUAGUGUAGCGGUGAAAUGCUUAGAGAUUACAUGGAAUACCGAUUGCGAAGGCAGGUUACUAUCAAUUAAUUGACGCUGAUGGACGAAAGCGUGGGGAGCGAACAGGAUUAGAUACCCUAGUAGUCC